Molecule: ribosomal RNA, 499 nt
Filed under: uncultured bacterium
Lineage: Bacteria
Description: bacterial SSU rRNA
Rfam family: Bacterial small subunit ribosomal RNA
Source: RNAcentral
UCGAGCGAGAGAGGGGCUUCGGCCCUCAGUAAAGCGGCGGACGGGUGAGUAACACGUAGGUAAUCUUCCCUUGAGCGGGGGACAACGGUCCGAAAGGACCGCUAAUACCGCAUACGUUUCCGAGGACCUCGGUCCUUGGAAGGAAAGCUAGGCCGCAAGGUCCGGCACUCGAGGAGGAGCCUGCGUCGCAUCAGCUAGUUGGUGGGGUAAUGGCCUACCAAGGCGAAGACGCGUAGCUGGUCUGAGAGGAUGAUCAGCCACACUGGGACUGAGACACGGCCCAGACUCCUACGGGAGGCAGCAGUGGGGAAUAUUGGACAAUGGGCGCAAGCCUGAUCCAGCCACGCCGCGUGAGUGAUGAAGGCCUUCGGGUCGUAAAGCUCUGUGGGGAGGGACGAACCGCUGCGCGUGCAUAGCGCGCAGCAUGACGGUACCUCCUUAGCAAGCACCGGCUAACUUCGUGCCAGCAGCCGCGGUAAUACGAAGGGUGCAAACGUUG